RNAcentral lists this ribosomal RNA (466 nucleotides) under uncultured bacterium. RNAcentral's name for it is "partial 16S ribosomal RNA". It matches the Rfam family "Bacterial small subunit ribosomal RNA", at positions 28 to 507 of the family's 1533-position model. The record is from RNAcentral.
GAUGAACGCUGGCGGCGUGCUUAACACAUGCAAGUCGAACGAUGAAGCCCAGCUUGCUGGGUGGAUUAGUGGCGAACGGGUGAGUAACACGUGAGUAACCUGCCCUUGACUCUGGGAUAAGCCUGGGAAACUGGGUCUAAUACUGGAUAUGACUUCUCAUCGCAUGGUGGGGGGUGGAAAGAUUUAUUGGUCUUGGAUGGACUCGCGGCCUAUCGGCUUGUUGGUGAGGUAAUGGCUCACCAAGGCGACGACGGGUAGCCGGCCUGAGAGGGUGACCGGCCACACUGGGACUGAGACACGGCCCAGACUCCUACGGGAGGCAGCAGUGGGGAAUAUUGCACAAUGGGCGCAAGCCUGAUGCAGCGACGCCGCGUGAGGGAUGACGGCCUUCGGGUUGUAAACCUCUUUCAGUAGGGAAGAAGCGAGAGUGACGGUACCUGCAGAAGAAGCGCCGGCUAACUACGUG